RNAcentral lists this ribosomal RNA (341 nucleotides) under uncultured bacterium. RNAcentral's name for it is "bacterial SSU rRNA". It matches the Rfam family "Bacterial small subunit ribosomal RNA", at positions 29 to 366 of the family's 1533-position model. The record is from RNAcentral.
AUUGAACGCUGGCGGAAUGCUUUACACAUGCAAGUCGAACGGCAGCACGGGGGCAACCCUGGUGGCGAGUGGCGAACGGGUGAGUAAUACAUCGGAACGUGCCCAGUCGUGGGGGAUAACGUAGCGAAAGCUACGCUAAUACCGCAUACGAUCUCUGGAUGAAAGCGGGGGACUCGCAAGGGCCUCGCGCGAUUGGAGCGGCCGAUGGCAGAUUAGGUAGUUGGGGGGUAAAGGCUCACCAAGCCGACGAUCUGUAGCUGGUCUGAGAGGACGACCAGCCACACUGGGACUGGAGACACCGGCCCAGACUCCGUACGGGAGGCAGCAGGUGGGGUAAUUUU